AGNGUGCGAGCGUUGUCCGGAAUUAUUGGGCGUAAAGAGCUCGUAGGCGGUUUGUCACGUCUGCUGUGAAAACCCGAGGCUCAACCUCGGGCCUGCAGUGGGUACGGGCAGACUAGAGUGUGGUAGGGGAGAUUGGAAUUCCUGGUGUAGCGGUGGAAUGCGCAGAUAUCAGGAGGAACACCGAUGGCGAAGGCAGAUCUCUGGGCCAUUACUGACGCUGAGGAGCGAAAGCGUGGGGAGCAAACAGGCUUAGAUACCCUGGUAGUCCACGCCGUAAACGUUGGGAACUAGAUGUGGGGACCAUUCCACGGUCUCCGUGUCGUAGCUAACGCAUUAAGUUCCCCGCCUGGGGAGUACGGCCGCAAGGCUAAAACUCAAAGGAAUUGACGGGGGCCCGNACAAGCGGCGGAGCAUGCGGAUUANUUCGAUGCAACGCGAAGAACCUUACCAAGGCUUGACAUAUACGAGAACGCACUGGAGACAGUGAACUCUUUGGACACUCGUAAACAGGUGGUGCAUGGUUGUCGUCAGCUCGUGUCGUGAGAUGUUGGGUUAAGUCCCGCAACGAGCGCAACCCUCGUCCUAUGUUGCCAGCACGUAAUGGUGGGAACUCAUGGGAUACUGCCGGGGUCAACUCGGAGGAAGGUGGGGAUGAGGUCAAAUCAUCAUGCCCCUUAUGUCUUGGGCUUCACGCAUGCUACAAUGGACGGUACAAUGGGCUGCAAUACCGGAAGGUGGAGCGAAUCCCAAAAAGCCGGUCUCAGUUCGGAUUGAGGUCUGCAACUCGACCUCAUGAAGUCGGAGUCGCUAGUAAUCGCAGAUCAGCAACGCUGCGGUGAAUACGUUCCCGGGACUNGUACACACCCCC
RNAcentral lists this ribosomal RNA (868 nucleotides) under unidentified actinomycete S10. RNAcentral's name for it is "bacterial SSU rRNA". It matches the Rfam family "Bacterial small subunit ribosomal RNA", at positions 529 to 1394 of the family's 1533-position model. Lineage: Bacteria; Bacillati; Actinomycetota; Actinomycetes; Actinomycetales. The record is from RNAcentral.